UCAGAACCUACGUGAAUGUGGUUACUGUAUAAUUCAUCCCUUUUGACCCCUGUGUUUAGGAUGACUCAGGGUUAAACUGUCAACCCUGAUUAGAUCAUCCGAGUCGUGCUCAACUCAAGCAGUCCUGUGACUCCUCACUAGGACUACCCUGGCCAAGGUUUUGCUAAAUUGAAACAUGACUGUACACAGCUCCUGAACUGGAGUGGUCAAUCCCAUCUUGACACACGCUCCGACAAGUCAAGUACUUGACUACACCCAGCAACCUUCUGUCACUGAAUUAGAAAUUCAGGUAGUCCAGUG
This 300-nucleotide long non-coding RNA is filed under the name Elaeis guineensis (African oil palm). RNAcentral's name for it is "long non-coding RNA (EGUI_LNC051433)". Lineage: Eukaryota; Viridiplantae; Streptophyta; Magnoliopsida; Arecales; Arecaceae. The record is from RNAcentral.